GUAUAUGGCCAUACGACCCUGAACACACCCGAUCUCAUCUGAUCUUGGAGGCUAAGCAGGGUUGGGCCUGGUUAGUAUUUGGAUGGGAGACAGUCAAAAAAGGGAGCGACGAAAAGG
Equus caballus (horse) is the source of this 117-nucleotide non-coding RNA. NCBI's taxonomy places the organism in Eukaryota, Metazoa, Chordata, Mammalia, Perissodactyla, Equidae. The record is from Rfam.